UUAUAGCGGAGGUGUCACACCCGUUCCCAUUUCGAACACGGAAGUUAAGCCCUCUUGCGCCGAUGGUACUGCUUCUUGAGGAGCGGGAGAGUAGGUAGUCGCCAAGC
RNAcentral lists this ribosomal RNA (107 nucleotides) under Treponema sp. The record is from RNAcentral. Lineage: Bacteria; Pseudomonadati; Spirochaetota; Spirochaetia; Treponematales; Treponemataceae.